CGGGAUGUGGCGCAGCUUGGUAGCGCAUCCGCUUUGGGAGCGGAGGGUCGCAGGUUCAAAUCCUGUCAUCCCGA
Molecule: transfer RNA, 74 nt
Rfam family: tRNA
About the family: Transfer RNA (tRNA) molecules are approximately 80 nucleotides in length. Their secondary structure includes four short double-helical elements and three loops (D, anti-codon, and T loops).
Source: Rfam